AAAAGCUCGUAGUUGGAUCUCAGCACCGGCCGGAAGGUCCGCCUACCGGUGGUUACUGUUCGCUGCCGUGNNUUGAGGUGGUUAUACUUGAUGAUCUUCACCGGUUGUCUCGUGUGACCGCCAAGUUUACUUUGAAAAAAUUAGAGUGCUCAAAGCAGGCGCGACGCCUGAAUAAUUGUGCAUGGAAUAAUGGAAUAGGACCUCGGUUCUAUUUUGUUGGUUUUCGGAACACGAGGUAAUGAUUAAGAGGGACAGACGGGGGCAUUCGUAUUGCGACGCUAGAGGUGAAAUUCUUGGACCGUCGCAAGACGAACUACUGCGAAAGCAUUUGCCAAGAAUGUUUCCAUUAAUCAAGAACGAAAGUUAGAGGUUCGAAGGCGAUCAGAUACCGCCCUAGUUCUAACCAUAAACGAUGCCAGCCAGCGAUCCGGCUGUGUUCCUCAAAUGACACGCCGGGCAGCUUCCGGGAAACCAAARGCUUUUGGGUUCCGGGGGRAGUAUGGUUGCAAAGCUGAAACUUAAAGGAAUUGACGGAARGGCACYACCAGRAWUGGRGCCUGCGGCUUAAUUUGACUCAACRCGSGRRWACUYUACCMGGYCCGGACACAGGAAGGAUUGACAGAUURAGAGCUCUUUCUUGAUUCUGUGGGUGGUGGUGCAUGGCCGUUCKUAGUUGGUGGRGCGAYUUGUCUGGUUWAUUCCGWUAACGARCRAGACUCUAGCCUACUAAAUAGACGCUCCGAUCAUUACAUGUCGGACGUUCUUCUUAGGGGGACAAGCGGCGUUUAGCCGCACGAGACAGAGCAAUAACAGGUCUGUUAUGCCCUUGGAUGUUCUGGGCCGCACGCGCGCCACAAUGAAGGAAUCAGCGUGUGCUUUCCCGGUCCGACAGGAUUGGGUAACCCGUUGAACCUCCUUCGUGCUAGGGAUAGGGGCUUGCAAUUAUUCCCCUUGAACGAGGAAUUCCCAGUAAGCACGAGUCAUCAUCUCGUGUUGAUUACGUCCCUGCCUUUUGUACACACCGCCCGUCGCUACUCCUAAUGGAUGUUUUAGUGAGGUCUUCGGACUGGCGCUCGGAGCGGCCUCCGGGUCGCGCCGGCGUGCCGGAAAGAUGACCAAACUUGACCCUCUAGAAGAGUAAAAGUCGUACAGGUUUCG
This 1158-nucleotide ribosomal RNA is filed under the name Araniella cucurbitina. Its description in RNAcentral is "partial small subunit ribosomal RNA". It matches the Rfam family "Eukaryotic small subunit ribosomal RNA", at positions 624 to 1824 of the family's 1831-position model. The record is from RNAcentral. Lineage: Eukaryota; Metazoa; Arthropoda; Arachnida; Araneae; Araneidae.